GGUGAACGCUGGCGGCGUGCCUAACACAUGCAAGUCGAGCGGUGCAGCUGGAAGCUUCGGCGGAAGGCUGCAUAGCGGCGGACGGGUGCGUAACACGUAGGAACGUGCCCUCUGGAGGCGGAUAGCUGUGGGAAACUGCAGGUAAUCCGCCAUAGACUCGGGAGAGUAAAGGCUGAAAGGCGCCAGAGGAGCGGCCUGCGGCCCAUCAGGUAGUUGGUAGGGUAACGGCCUACCAAGCCGACGACGGGUAGCCGGUCUGAGAGGAUGGCCGGCCACAAGGGCACUGAGACACGGGUCCUACUCCUACGGGAGGCAGCAGUGGGGGAUUUUGGACAAUGGGCGAAAGCCUGAUCCAGCGACGCCGCGUGGAGGACGAAGCCCUUCGGGGUGUAAACUCCUUUUCUCAGGGAAAAAAGCUGAUGGUACCUGAGGAAUAAGCCCCGGCUAACUACGUGCCAGCAGCCGCGGCAAUACGUAGGGGGCGAGCGUUACCCGGAAUCACUGGGCGUAAAGGGUGCGUAGGCGGCCGAGUGUGUCUGGCGUUAAAAUCCACGGCUCAACUGUGGGUAUGCGCUGGAAACUGCUUGGCUUGAGUGCAGCA
Molecule: ribosomal RNA, 601 nt
Filed under: uncultured bacterium
Lineage: Bacteria
Description: bacterial SSU rRNA
Rfam family: Bacterial small subunit ribosomal RNA
Source: RNAcentral